GCCGGUGUAGCUCAAUUGGCAGAGCAACGGUUUUGUAAACCGUAGGUUACGGGUUCGAUUCCUGCCACCGGCUCCA
This 76-nucleotide transfer RNA is filed under the name Coriobacteriia bacterium. Its description in RNAcentral is "tRNA-Thr". It matches the Rfam family "tRNA". From Rfam's summary of the family: Transfer RNA (tRNA) molecules are approximately 80 nucleotides in length. Lineage: Bacteria; Bacillati; Actinomycetota; Coriobacteriia. The record is from RNAcentral.